This is a non-coding RNA of Mus caroli (Ryukyu mouse), 394 nucleotides long. Lineage: Eukaryota; Metazoa; Chordata; Mammalia; Rodentia; Muridae. The record is from the annotation of a RefSeq genome assembly.
AUGGAGACAGACACACUCCUGCUAUGGGUGCUGGUGCUCUGGGUUCCAGACUCCAAUGGUGACAUUGUGCUAACCCAAUCUCCAGCUUCUUUGGCUGUGUCUCUAGGGCAGAGGGCCACCAUAUCCUGCAAGGCCAGCCAGAGUAUCAAUUAUUACAGUGAUAAUUAUAUGCACGGGUUCCAACAGAAACCAGGACAGCCAACCAAACUCCUUAUCUAUGAUGCAUCCAACCUAGAAUCUGGAGUUCCUGAUAGGUUCAGUGGCAGUGGGUCUGGGACAGACUUUACCCUCACCAUUGAUCCUGUGGAAGAGGAUGAUGCUGCAAUCUAUUACUGUCAGCAAAGUAGGGAGUUUCCUCCCACAGUGCUCCAGGGCUGAACAAAAACCUCCUGGG